AUUGAACGCUGGCGGCAGGCCUAACACAUGCAAGUCGAACGGUAACAGGAAGAAGCUUGCUUCUUUGCUGACGAGUGGCGGACGGGUGAGUAAUGUCUGGGAAACUGCCUGAUGGAGGGGGAUAACUACUGGAAACGGUAGCUAAUACCGCAUAACGUCGCAAGACCAAAGAGGGGGACCUUCGGGCCUCUUGCCAUCGGCUGUGCCCAGAUGGGAUUAGCUAGUAGGUGGGGUAACGGCUCACCUAGGCGACGAUCCCUAGCUGGUCUGAGAGGAUGACCAGCCACACUGGAACUGAGACACGGUCCAGACUCCUACGGGAGGCAGCAGUGGGGAAUAUUGCACAAUGGGCGAAAGCCUGAUGCAGCCAUGCCGCGUGUAUGAAGAAGGCCUUCGGGUUGUAAAGUACUUUCAGCGGGGAGGAAGGGAGUAAAGUUAAUACCUUUGCUCAUUGACGUUACCCGAAGAAGAAGCACCGGCUAACUCCGUG
This 490-nucleotide ribosomal RNA is filed under the name uncultured bacterium. RNAcentral describes it as "partial 16S ribosomal RNA". It matches the Rfam family "Bacterial small subunit ribosomal RNA", at positions 30 to 507 of the family's 1533-position model. The record is from RNAcentral.